UCAUGCUAUGCACCGUCUCCUCCCUCAACGC
This 31-nucleotide non-coding RNA is filed under the name Homo sapiens (human). The record is from RNAcentral. Lineage: Eukaryota; Metazoa; Chordata; Mammalia; Primates; Hominidae.